UAUUCAAAUUGAAAUACAUUGUAUUGGUGUAAUUUUGCUUGCUUGUUGAUUAGCAAGUUUUAAUGGAAAUAGAAAAUAAUGGUUAUCUAGACAAAUGUGCUCUUGUUUUAAGUAUAUUUUUAUAACUCUUUUGUAAUGUCUUUGUUAUCAGAGUCCUUCAAAUUAGAAUAGUGAUGAUGAUCUUGUCAAUGCUGAGAUUUUCAUGCAUCAACAGCCACUACAUCUGGAUCAGAUUGAACAAGAAACAGACAGCAAGGGUUGUCAAGUCAGAAACAGAAUGACACACAAACACAAGAAACUUCACAGGCAGAUCAACAUGCAAUUUGAAGACGUGUGAUAAAAUACAGAGAGGUGAAGUAGUGUGUCUUUCCAGAUCCCCAAAUCAUUCCCCCUUAAAAGGCCUGAAGAGGAGAUUUGGGAAGAUGCUGUUUCAUAAGUCGCUUUGCCAGAUCACCUGUGGUCGGGAUGUCUGCUAACAAGAUGCCUUGCUGGUCUGAGCGAGUUUAAAGGCUUACACAGACAGUCCAGAAGUUCUGAAGUCCAUCUUCGAUUUCAUUGGACGAUUUAAGGUGUAGAAACAUCUCAGCAACCUCAAGAGAAAUUGGAGGCAACUGAGCUAAAUUGCAGAUGAUGUUGCAAAGGGUCUGAAUAUGUAUAAUAUGCUGUCAUCGUAUUAAGUACAGCAUGAGCCAGAAUAGAUGGGUGGUGGUGGCCAUAAGAAGACUGUCAACUAAACCAACAACAAAAUUCAUAUUUGCAGUUUUUCUUGAAUAAAGUUUUUCUAUUCAGAUGAAUAAAAUGACUUUUAAACAUGA
Non-coding RNA from Paramisgurnus dabryanus, 815 nucleotides. NCBI's taxonomy places the organism in Eukaryota, Metazoa, Chordata, Actinopteri, Cypriniformes, Cobitidae. The record is from RefSeq and is a predicted model, not a curated record.